RNAcentral lists this ribosomal RNA (253 nucleotides) under uncultured bacterium. RNAcentral's name for it is "partial 16S ribosomal RNA". It matches the Rfam family "Bacterial small subunit ribosomal RNA", at positions 524 to 776 of the family's 1533-position model. The record is from RNAcentral.
UACGGAGGGAGCUAGCGUUGUUCGGAAUUACUGGGCGUAAAGCGCACGUAGGCGGCUUUGUAAGUUAGAGGUGAAAGCCCGGAGCUCAACUCCGGAAUUGCCUUUAAGACUGCAUCGCUAGAAUUGUGGAGAGGUGAGUGGAAUUCCGAGUGUAGAGGUGAAAUUCGUAGAUAUUCGGAAGAACACAAGUGGCGAAGGCGACUCACUGGACACAUAUUGACGCUGAGGUGCGAAAGCGUGGGGAGCAAACAGG